Molecule: long non-coding RNA, 193 nt
Organism: Tupaia belangeri chinensis (Chinese tree shrew)
Lineage: Eukaryota; Metazoa; Chordata; Mammalia; Scandentia; Tupaiidae
Exons: 3
Source: RefSeq, a predicted model, not a curated record
UGGAGAAGAAUGGAUUGUGAUGUGACCAUUCCCCCUGGAUUUUGCAGAAGUUCCGAAGAAUGAAUCAAAGAAGGCAAUCAUUAACAUUUUCUGGAGAGGAUACAUUUCGAUGAUAUAAAUUAGAUCUACAAAUUAAUCAUUAAGCAAAAUCAUAAUGCUGGACCAGCAUAUGGCAUAAUGGUUACAUCGCUGG